AUUGAACGCUGGCGGCAGGCCUAACACAUGCAAGUCGAACGGUAACAGGAAACAGCUUGCUGUUUCGCUGACGAGUGGCGGACGGGUGAGUAAUGUCUAGGAAACUGCCUGAUGGAGGGGGAUAACUACUGGAAACGGUAGCUAAUACCGCAUAACGUCGCAAGACCAAAGAGGGGGACCUUCGGGCCUCUUGCCAUCGGAUGUGCCCAGAUGGGAUUAGCUAGUAGGUGGGGUAACGGCUCACCUAGGCGACGAUCCCUAGCUGGUCUGAGAGGAUGACCAGCCACACUGGAACUGAGACACGGUCCAGACUCCUACGGGAGGCAGCAGUGGGGAAUAUUGCACAAUGGGCGCAAGCCUGAUGCAGCCAUGCCGCGUGUAUGAAGAAGGCCUUCGGGUUGUAAAGUACUUUCAGCGGGGAGGAAGGGAGUAAAGUUAAUACCCUUGCUCAUUGACGUUACCCGCAGAAGAAGCACCGGCUAACUCCGUG
This 490-nucleotide ribosomal RNA is filed under the name uncultured bacterium. Its description in RNAcentral is "partial 16S ribosomal RNA". It matches the Rfam family "Bacterial small subunit ribosomal RNA", at positions 30 to 507 of the family's 1533-position model. The record is from RNAcentral.